Rhododendron molle is the source of this 106-nucleotide non-coding RNA. The record is from the annotation of a GenBank genome assembly. Lineage: Eukaryota; Viridiplantae; Streptophyta; Magnoliopsida; Ericales; Ericaceae.
UGCGAUCAUACCAAAGACUAAUGCGUCCCAUCGUAACUCCGCAGCUUGCGUGCUUGGGCGAGUAAUACUAGGAUGGGUGACCUCCUGGGAAGUCUAUAGAGCUGCA